UCCGAAGUUUCCCUCAGGAUAGCUGGCGCUCUCGCUCUUUCCCGACGCACGCAGUUUUAUCCAGUAAAGCGAAUGAUUAGAGGUCUUGGGGCCGAAACGAUCUCAACCUAUUCUCAAACUUUAAAUGGGUAAGAAGCCCGGCUCGCUGGCGUGGAGCCGGGCGUGGAAUGCGAGUGCCUAGUGGGCCACUUUUGGUAAGCAGAACGGGCGCUCCGGGAUGAACCGAACGCUGGGUUAAGGCGCCCCAUGCCGACGCUCAUCAGACCCCAUUUUGUAGAUCAGGCUGGCCUCGAACUCAGAAAUCUGCCUGCCUCUGCCUCCUGAGUGCUGGGAUUAAAGGA
Molecule: non-coding RNA, 341 nt
Filed under: Mus musculus (house mouse)
Lineage: Eukaryota; Metazoa; Chordata; Mammalia; Rodentia; Muridae
Description: Eukaryotic large subunit ribosomal RNA
Rfam family: Eukaryotic large subunit ribosomal RNA
Source: Rfam by way of RNAcentral